This 1542-nucleotide ribosomal RNA is filed under the name Shigella flexneri. RNAcentral describes it as "partial 23S ribosomal RNA". It matches the Rfam family "Bacterial large subunit ribosomal RNA", at positions 1403 to 2925 of the family's 2925-position model. The record is from RNAcentral. Lineage: Bacteria; Pseudomonadati; Pseudomonadota; Gammaproteobacteria; Enterobacterales; Enterobacteriaceae.
CGAAAGGCGUAGUCGAUGGGAAACAGGUUAAUAUUCCUGUACUUGGUGUUACUGCGAAGGGGGGACGGAGAAGGCUAUGUUGGCCGGGCGACGGUUGUCCCGGUUUAAGCGUGUAGGCUGGUUUUCCAGGCAAAUCCGGAAAAUCAAGGCCGAGGCGUGAUGACGAGGCACUACGGUGCUGAAGCAACAAAUGCCCUGCUUCCAGGAAAAGCCUCUAAGCAUCAGGUAACAUCAAAUCGUACCCCAAACCGACACAGGUGGUCAGGUAGAGAAUACCAAGGCGCUUGAGAGAACUCGGGUGAAGGAACUAGGCAAAAUGGUGCCGUAACUUCGGGAGAAGGCACGCUGAUACGUAGGUGAAGCGACUUGCUCGUGGAGCUGAAAUCAGUCGAAGAUACCAGCUGGCUGCAACUGUUUAUUAAAAACACAGCACUGUGCAAACACGAAAGUGGACGUAUACGGUGUGACGCCUGCCCGGUGCCGGAAGGUUAAUUGAUGGGGUUAGCGCAAGCGAAGCUCUUGAUCGAAGCCCCGGUAAACGGCGGCCGUAACUAUAACGGUCCUAAGGUAGCGAAAUUCCUUGUCGGGUAAGUUCCGACCUGCACGAAUGGCGUAAUGAUGGCCAGGCUGUCUCCACCCGAGACUCAGUGAAAUUGAACUCGCUGUGAAGAUGCAGUGUACCCGCGGCAAGACGGAAAGACCCCGUGAACCUUUACUAUAGCUUGACACUGAACAUUGAGCCUUGAUGUGUAGGAUAGGUGGGAGGCUUUGAAGUGUGGACGCCAGUCUGCAUGGAGCCGACCUUGAAAUACCACCCUUUAAUGUUUGAUGUUCUAACGUGGACCCGUGAUCCGGGUUGCGGACAGUGUCUGGUGGGUAGUUUGACUGGGGCGGUCUCCUCCUAAAGAGUAACGGAGGAGCACGAAGGUUGGCUAAUCCUGGUCGGACAUCAGGAGGUUAGUGCAAUGGCAUAAGCCAGCUUGACUGCGAGCGUGACGGCGCGAGCAGGUGCGAAAGCAGGUCAUAGUGAUCCGGUGGUUCUGAAUGGAAGGGCCAUCGCUCAACGGAUAAAAGGUACUCCGGGGAUAACAGGCUGAUACCGCCCAAGAGUUCAUAUCGACGGCGGUGUUUGGCACCUCGAUGUCGGCUCAUCACAUCCUGGGGCUGAAGUAGGUCCCAAGGGUAUGGCUGUUCGCCAUUUAAAGUGGUACGCGAGCUGGGUUUAGAACGUCGUGAGACAGUUCGGUCCCUAUCUGCCGUGGGCGCUGGAGAACUGAGGGGGGCUGCUCCUAGUACGAGAGGACCGGAGUGGACGCAUCACUGGUGUUCGGGUUGUCAUGCCAAUGGCACUGCCCGGUAGCUAAAUGCGGAAGAGAUAAGUGCUGAAAGCAUCUAAGCACGAAACUUGCCCCGAGAUGAGUUCUCCCUGACCCUUUAAGGGUCCUGAAGGAACGUUGAAGACGACGACGUUGAUAGGCCGGGUGUGUAAGCGCAGCGAUGCGUUGAGCUAACCGGUACUAAUGAACCGUGAGGCUUAACCUU